Molecule: long non-coding RNA, 4802 nt
Filed under: Sus scrofa (pig)
Lineage: Eukaryota; Metazoa; Chordata; Mammalia; Artiodactyla; Suidae
Description: lncRNA (ENSSSCG00050064197.1)
Source: RNAcentral
CAGCAUAUGGAGGUUCCCAGGCUAGGGGUCCAAUUGGAACUACAGUUGCUGGCCUAAACCACAGCCACAGCAACACAGGAUCCGAGCCACGUCUGUGACCUACACCAUAGCUCAUGGCAACGCCAGAUCCUUAACCCACUGAGCAAGGCCAGGGAUCGAACUCUCAACAUCAUAGUCCCUAGUCGGAUUCGUUUCUGUUGGGCCAUGACGGGAACUCCUCAAUUUUUGAAUUGACUUUUUUUUUCUAAAUACACAUCCAGGAAAUCAAAUGAAACUUCGAAAUUGAUUAUUUUCUUUUUUUUAAUUUUUCAGAAUUGUUUUUUUCAGGGCUGCAUCUGUGGCAUAUGGAAAUUCCCAGGCUAGGGGUCAAAUUAAACCUGCAGCUGCCGGUCUAUACCACAGCCACAGCAACAGGAUCUGAGAUGCGUCUGAGAUCUUGACUGCAGCUUGAUGCAAUGCCGACUCCUUAACCCACUGAGCAAGGCCAGGGAUUGAAACUGCAUCCACACAGACACUGUGUAGGGUUCUUAACCUGCUGAGCUACAAUGAGAACUCCCAAAAUUUAUUAUUUCCUUAUAAGAAACAAAAAUAUUGUCAGUUUUAAAUGCUGACUAACUACCCAUAUGCUUUCUAAUCAUAGUUACUGAUAAAUUACAUUGUAAAUAAUUAGUUAAAGAAAAUAACAUAAGAAACGUCAGUUGCUAGGUGAAUUUUUCCUCAGAAUAGGAGCUGGAUUAUAACAACAUUGCUUCUUGUUGAGUACGUAUCAUGCACUAGGAGCCCUGCUAGAUAUUUUUCAUAAUUAUUUCAUUUAAUCUUCAAAACAACCCUGGAAGUUAAUUAUUCUCAUUUUAAGAUGAGGUCAUUGAGAACCGGCAAUGUUGGACAACUUGCCAAACAUCCUAAAGUAAUAAGCACUGAGAUUCUAAAUCAAUUCAACCUUCACAACUCACAGUCCUUCCCAAUACACCAGCUUUGUGAGGUUUAGUUCAUUGUGAUUUGAAACAAACUAGCUCUAGAUUAGGUCAAUGGACUUUAAAAAAAUAUUACUCCAUUCACAACAAAGCGUCAUCACCAAGUUGUAACUUAGAUGAAGAAAAAUACGGAACAUUGAAAGAGAGAACUGGUCAAUUUUUGAGUGUGCUGGGGAUUAAUGAAAAAAUACAUGCAUCAAAAGCUAAACAAACAAAUAACGACAAAAAUUUCCCCCUCUUGUAUUAGAAGUUAAUGACUGAGAUACAUACAAAAUGAUGGACCAUUUCUGAGUGCAUAUGGAAGUUCCCAGGCUAGGGGUUUGAAUCAGAGCUACACCUGCUGGUCUAUACCACAGCCACAGCAACUCGGGACCCAAGCCAUGUCUGUAACCUGCACCACAGCACAUGGGAUCCACAACCUACUUAGCAAGACCAGGGAUCAAACCCGCAUCCUCAUGGAUACUAGUCAGAUUCAUUUGUACUGCACCUCAACAGGAACUCCCGAGGCUCAGUGUUUUAAGAACCCAACAUAAUGUCAGUGAGGAUGAGAGUUUGAUCCCUGGCCUCACUCAGUGGGUUAAGGAUCCAGUGUUGCUGCAAGCUGUGGCAGAAAUCAGAGAUGUGGCUCAGAUCCUGUGUUUUGUGGCUGUGGUAUAGGCUGGCAGCUCGAUUCCACGACUGGCCCUGAAAUUCCCAUAUGCUGCAGGUAUGGCCAUAAAAAGAAAAGAAAAGAAAAAAAGAGAGAGAGAGAGAGAUGCCGCUGAGGCUUCCUUUCUGCUUUUGGGAUAUCAAGAUGUCCUUUUUUUAUGCACACACACAACCCAGAAUGGCAUUCCCUUUAAUUUUUUAACUUUUCCUUCUUUUAAAACUCAACAUGAUGAUGACUAAAACAGAGGUUAAUAAUACACUUCAGGUCAAGCUUUUUUUUUUUUGUGUGUGUGUGUACAAAAACAUUGAGAUAACUAAGGGGAUGCGUGCAUGUUUCAGUUAUCUGCAUUUUUUCUCAGUUUCUCAUUUUAUCCUGCAAAAAGAGGGAGACAGAAGACAUACAGACAUUUGCAGAACCUCUGGGGGUACUGAUCUCAUCUCUUCUUUAUUUCUUAGGGAAAUGUUGGCUUUGGAAGUGGCUCCCUUUUCAGCAUUAAUUGCUUACUUAUAAUGUGCCAGUGAGUCUUCUCUUACACUUAAUAUGGAAAAUGAUACAAAAUAAGCACUGUGCAAAAUAUUUGGCAAAUAAAGUAAAGAAGCAAUUUUGUUGUUGUUGUUUUCCAGUUUUCCAGACAAGAACUGAAUGAAAUCACAUUUUUACACUAAUAGUCAUUAAUGGGGCUUCAGGGUGAAUAAAGAUUCAGGAAAGUAAUAUUCACAAAUAAGUCUAUUGGAUUCUCCAUUCAUCUAAGAAAACUAUUAAAUACUUGUUUGGAUUUAUAAAUAGCAUUCUUCCAUAGAAGUUUUUAACUUUUUAAACUUUGAACAGACACAUAUGCAAUAAAAAUUAAAAACCACAGUCUUUAAACAUAGUUGUGAAAAUAUAUUUCCUGAUAGAUUCUAGAUAGAUAUCAGUGAGUAGAAAAUAUGGAACAUAUCUACCUAAAUAAAAACGAACUUGGGGUAAAUAUAAAAAUCAGAAAGAAAAAUCACUGAAAGUUAUGAGAGACAUGCUUUACUACCAACAAGUGUGUCAAACUUGAGUGUUUUAAUUGAUGACACCUCUAUUAAAAAUGGAGUAUGGAUGAUGAUAUUAUAAAAAAAAAAGACCACUGAGGUCUUCAGGAGCAGUGGAAGAAUACAAUAUAUGAAAAAAAGAAAGUGACCAUCCUCUUCUACAUUGCUCUGACCAGUAUAUUUUAUUCUCCCUCAUGAUAAGACAUUUAUGGGCAAACGAGAAUGCACUGAAGGCUAGCAACUAGUACGGUAUGGGAAACUACAUCACAUAAAGAAAAGCUGAAGGAACUGCACAUAGAGCUUGGAAAAGAGAAGACUCGGGAAAAUUCCAGGGAAAACAGAGAGCAACUUUUUCUAAGGGUUAAAAACAUCAUUAUAUGAAAAAAGAGCCACACUUGUUCUGUGUCUAAAAAACCAUCCAUACUAACCAGGUCUUUUUUGCUCACAAGUGGUAAAACAAAACAAAGACAGGGUACUUACGGGCCCACAUGCUUGAGAAACCCAAGGACAGAGCAAGCUUUGGGAACAGCACAUUCAGAGGUUCAGACAGUGUCACUGUGCUGUCACUGCUGAGCUUUCAUCUCUUUGUGUUUGGUUUCCUUCUCAGAAGGCUUUCUUUUCUCUGUGAUUUCACGAGAGCCAAAAGGGCCACUGGCAGUAUGAGAUGUACCAGAGCUUAAAAAUCACAGAGAAAAGAAAGCAACUCUAUCUCCCAUCUUCCAUCUGACAGUUAUCAUCCACAACCAUGACUGAGUCUGCUUGGCCCCCAAGAUGGUCACUCUUGGACUGAUGACCACAGACGGGGGGAUGCCUGCUGUGAGAGACUUACCCUGGGUCAUGUGCCUAUGCCUAACAGUGCAGAAUCAAUCUGAGUAGGACAGAGAACAAUAAGGAGCUACGCAGGCACCAAAGCAAACCAAACAAAGCCAAAAAAAAAAAAAAUUUGAAUUAAAAAAAUAAGUAAAGUUGUGCAGCAUGGCUACUUGGAAAGGUAAUGAAUUUCUCAUCACUGAAUGUGUUUAAGCAGAAGUUUAAUAAGAGCUUGUCAGUGAUAAAAGGCCACUGUGCCUCUGGUCAACGAUGGGACUCUGAGCAAGUCACCCUUCAUUUCCUCCUUCAGUCAUAGAUAAUCAUUGAGCACUUACAACGUGGAAGGCCACGGAGAUUCAAGGGCACAAAAGACAGGUGAGGUCCCUGCCCUAGACGAGCUUAUAACCAACAGUCUCUAAUCUGUAAGAGAGAUUAUAUUUGCCACACAACAUGAGUAUGAUUGAAAGAAAAGAUGUAUGUGGGAAUUGACAAUUAUAAAACAAUAUGCAAAUGAAAAAUAUUAAAAGAGCAUAAGUAGAGUAACUAAGAUUUGCAUUGGGAAAGGUGAAAAGAUUUAAAAGCAAACUUUAUCUCUAAAGGAAUUUUAUCUAUACAUACUACAAGCAUCCUUCUCAACUCUAUAGCACAGGGCCUAUGAUCUAAUCCCAAAAGAAUUAUUUCCCCCAGUAAAGAUCAGGGCAAAAAAAACCUCAGCCAGAAUUCAAAGCCAAAGAUUUAUGUUUGAGCCAUAGACACUGACACUGAGUUCCAAAGCAGCGUUGCCUGAGGGAUCCGUGAGCCAGCACAAAGGAGGGCAAUUUCUCAGAGUAGCUAGAAUGCCUCUCAGCACAGAGCUUCCUUGGACACCACUGGCACCGGCUUGCUAAGCUAAAGCUUAAAGGACAUGGAACAGUCUUGGGAAGGUAGGGGGCCCCAUUACCAGACACUUACAUUAAGGAGGGUGGGAGUAGCAAUACCUCGUCCAGCAAUAUGUCUCUAGUGCCAGGAACACUGCCAAGUACAUCUUGUAUGUGACAAUUUCCACGACUGGAGUACGCUUUGAUUCUAACUAUACAGCUUUUGGGAAGCUCUUUAUGUGAGUCAUGGCCAUUUCAUCUUUCUAAGCCUCAAUUUUCUAAUAUGAAAAACUAAAUAAAUUGACAGGAUAAGCAAUGAGAUCCUGCUAUAUAGCACAGGGAACUAUAUUCAGUCACUUGUGAUGGAACAUGAUGGACAAUAAUGUAAGAAAAAGAAUAUAUAUAUAUGACUGGGUCGCUUUGCUGUACAGUAGAAAUUGACAGAACACUGUAAAUCAACUCUAAUGGAGAAAAUAAAAAUCAUAAAAUAAAAAAA